Molecule: ribosomal RNA, 158 nt
Filed under: Fraxinus spaethiana
Lineage: Eukaryota; Viridiplantae; Streptophyta; Magnoliopsida; Lamiales; Oleaceae
Description: 5.8S ribosomal RNA
Rfam family: 5.8S ribosomal RNA
About the family: 5.8S ribosomal RNA (5.8S rRNA) is a component of the large subunit of the eukaryotic ribosome.
Source: RNAcentral
GACUCUCGGCAACGGAUAUCUUGGCUCUCGCAUCGAUGAAGAACGCAGCAAAAUGCGAUACUUGGUGUGAAUUGCAGAAUCCCGUGAACCAUCGAGUUUUUGAACGCAAGUUGCGCCCGAAGCCAAUAUGCUGAGGGCACGUCUGCCUGGGCGUCACG